This is a non-coding RNA of Acanthosepion pharaonis, 114 nucleotides long. Lineage: Eukaryota; Metazoa; Mollusca; Cephalopoda; Sepiida; Sepiidae. The record is from the annotation of a GenBank genome assembly.
UUACAGCCAUAUCACGCUGAAAUACCGGUUCCGAUACGAUCACUGAAAUUAAGCAAUGUCAAGCUUGAUCAGUACUGAGAUUGGUGAUCACUUGGGAAUACCAGGUGGUGUAAG